GAUGAACGCUAGCGGCAGGCCUAACACAUGCAAGUCGAGGGGUAGAAGGAGCUUGCUCCUUUGAGACCGGCGCACGGGUGCGUAACGCGUAUGCAAUCUACCUUGUACAGGGGAAUAGCCCAGAGAAAUUUGGAUUAAUGCCCCAUAGUAUAUAACCUUCGCAUGUUGGUUAUAUUAAAGUUCCAACGGUACAAGAUGAGCAUGCGUCCCAUUAGUUAGUUGGUAAGGUAACGGCUUACCAAGACGAUGAUGGGUAGGGGUCCUGAGAGGGAGAUCCCCCACACUGGUACUGAGACACGGACCAGACUCCUACGGGAGGCAGCAGUGGGGAAUAUUGGGCAAUGGAGGAAACUCUGACCCAGCGACGCCGCGUGCAGGAUGACGGUCCUAUGGAUUGUAAACUGCUUUUGUACAGGAAGAAACACUCCCUCGUGAGGGAGCUUGACGGUACUGUAAGAAUAAGGAUCGGCUAACUCCGUG
Molecule: ribosomal RNA, 480 nt
Filed under: uncultured bacterium
Lineage: Bacteria
Description: bacterial SSU rRNA
Rfam family: Bacterial small subunit ribosomal RNA
Source: RNAcentral